AAUAGAUACCCUGGUAGUCCAUGCCGUAAACGUUGGGCACUAGGUGUGGGGCUCAUUCCACGAGUUCCGUGCCGCAGCAAACGCAUUAAGUGCCCCGCCUGGGGAGUACGGCCGCAAGGCUAAAACUCAAAGGAAUUGACGGGGGCCCGCACAAGCGGCGGAGCAUGCGGAUUAAUUCGAUGCAACGCGAAGAACCUUACCAAGGCUUGACAUGCACGGGAAGCCACCAGAGAUGGUGGUCUCUUUGGACACUCGUGCACAGGUGGUGCAUGGUUGUCGUCAGCUCGUGUCGUGAGAUGUUGGGUUAAGUCCCGCAACGAGCGCAACCCUCGUCCCAUGUUGCCAGCGGGUUAUGCCGGGGACUCAUGGGAGACUGCCGGGGUCAACUCGGAGGAAGGUGGGGAUGACGUCAAAUCAUCAUGCCCCUUAUGCCUUGGGCUUCACGCAUGCUACAAUGGCCGGUACAAAGGGCUGCGAUACCGUAAGGUGGAGCGAAUCCCAAAAAGCCGGUCUCAGUUCGGAUUGGGGU
Molecule: ribosomal RNA, 529 nt
Filed under: uncultured bacterium
Lineage: Bacteria
Description: bacterial SSU rRNA
Rfam family: Bacterial small subunit ribosomal RNA
Source: RNAcentral